This 468-nucleotide ribosomal RNA is filed under the name uncultured bacterium. RNAcentral describes it as "partial 16S ribosomal RNA". It matches the Rfam family "Bacterial small subunit ribosomal RNA", at positions 28 to 507 of the family's 1533-position model. The record is from RNAcentral.
GACGAACGCUGGCGGCGUGCUUAACACAUGCAAGUCGAACGGAAAGGCCCUGCUUUUGUGGGGUGCUCGAGUGGCGAACGGGUGAGUAACACGUGAGUAACCUGCCCUUGACUUUGGGAUAACGUCAGGAAACUGGGGCUAAUACCGGAUAGGAGCUCCUGCUGCAGGGGGGGGGUUGGAAAGUUUCGGCGGUUGGGGAUGGACGCGCGGCUUAUCAGCUUGUUGGGGGGGUAGUGGCUUACCAAGGCUUUGACGGGUAGCCGGCCUGAGCGGGUGACCGGCCACAAUGGGACUGAGAUACGGCCCAGACUCCUACGGGGGGCAGCAGUGCGGAAUAUUGCACAAUGGGCGGGAGCCUGAUGCAGCAACGCCGCGUGCGGGAUGACGGCCUUCGGGUUGUAAACCGCUUUCGCCUGUGACGAAGCGUGAGUGACGGUAAUGGGUAAAGAAGCACCGGCUAACUACGUG